This 838-nucleotide long non-coding RNA is filed under the name Ananas comosus (pineapple). RNAcentral describes it as "long non-coding RNA (ACOM_LNC038294)". The record is from RNAcentral. Lineage: Eukaryota; Viridiplantae; Streptophyta; Magnoliopsida; Poales; Bromeliaceae.
AAUUGAUUUGGUUCUCGAAGUAUGUGGUUUAAUUAAGGAAAUGUUUAGUUUCUUAAAAAGGGAUAAUUGCGUAUAUACCUCUCAAAACUUCGAAAAUAUCUCAUUUAUUUUUUUUUCUUCUUUCCAAUAUACUCCUCAUAUUUCUCCGUUCUUCCAAAAUACCCCUCCAGUUACCACCCGUUAAGUUAACUUGAAUUAAACGUGAAUUAAAUAUUUACCACAAUUAAAAAAAUUUAAAAUAUUAAUUUUACCCUUAAUUUAAGAGCAAAUAAGAAAUAUUGGUAACAGUAGAGAGGUAUAUUUGAAAAGACCAAAAGUCAAAAUACUUUUUUUGCUCAUGACUUAGGCUUCGUUUGGGAUUGCGGGGAGAUUGCGUUACGUGCGAUGCGAAAGUAGAUUGAAAAAAUACCCUGUUUGUUUUCGCGUUCCGCAUAUUGUGAUGAGUAGGUUACGAUAUAUUUUCUGCGGUCCCAUCGGAGAACACAGAAGCAUAUCCUUAUAUACUUUUUCCUCAACUCCAUUUUAUCUAAUAACCUUAGAUAUACUUCAAUACCAAACUAAGCCUUAAUGGCAAAUAAGAAAAGUCGGUGAUGGUGGAGGGUAUAUUUGAAAUGGCAAAAUAGUAAUUUUAUACAGAUAACAAAGUUUAUUAACAGAUUUUAACUCUAUUGGUAUAUUUGAAAUAGGUUGAAACGUAAAAAAUAUAUUUUCAAUAUUAUCCUUUUAAGAGGGGUAAAUAGAAAGUCAGAAACUUUUCAGAUUUAUAUAAGCAAUUGUUCCUCUUAAAAAAUAUCUCAGAAAAUAAUUUUCUGAUUAGAAAAAUAUUUAUCAUCCAUUU